This 253-nucleotide ribosomal RNA is filed under the name uncultured microorganism. Its description in RNAcentral is "partial 16S ribosomal RNA". It matches the Rfam family "Bacterial small subunit ribosomal RNA", at positions 524 to 776 of the family's 1533-position model. The record is from RNAcentral.
UACGUAGGUGGCAAGCGUUGUCCGGAAUUAUUGGGCGUAAAGCGCGCGCAGGUGGUUUCUUAAGUCUGAUGUGAAAGCCCACGGCUCAACCGUGGAGGGUCAUUGGAAACUGGGAGACUUGAGUGCAGUAGAGGAGAGUGGAAUUCCAUGUGUAGCGGUGAAAUGCGUAGAUAUAUGGAGGAACACCGGUGGCGAAAGCGGCUCUCUGGACUGUAACUGACACUGAGGCUCGAAAGCGUGGGUAGCAAACAGG